GUGCUUUCCCUCCAUUUCAGGCACCCUUUCUUGGGCCGCGAAGUCCCUAUCUCGAACGGCUCAGGAUUCGUGGUGGCUGCCGAUGGGCUCAUUGUCACCAACGCCCAUGUGGUGGCUGAUCGGCGCAGAGUCCGUGUGAGACUGCUUAGCGGCGACACGUAUGAGGCCGUGGUCACAGCUGUGGAUCCCGUGGCAGACAUCGCAACGCUGAGGAUUCAGACUAAGGAGCCUCUCCCCACGCUGCCUCUGGGACGCUCAGCGGAUGUCCGGCAAGGGGAGUUUGUUGUUGCCAUGGGAAGUCCCUUUGCACUGCAGAACACGAUCACAUCCGGCAUUGUUAGCUCUGCUCAGCGUCCAGCCAGAGACCUGGGACUCCCCCAAACCAAUGUGGAAUACAUUCAGACUGAUGCAGCUAUUGAUGUGCGUCCUGAUAAGAGAGAAAUGACAAAUGAUGGGGGAGGGGGAGAGGCUGUGGUACAAGCACCAGCUGAUAUAUGGUGGAUGAGCCUAUAUAGAGCUUAGGCUGCAAAAAUGUGGCCACUCAUUCAUGGGCUGAGAAAG
This 561-nucleotide small RNA is filed under the name Pongo abelii (Sumatran orangutan). Its description in RNAcentral is "retained intron". Lineage: Eukaryota; Metazoa; Chordata; Mammalia; Primates; Hominidae. The record is from RNAcentral.